CAUUCCUAUGUCCGCCGAAGGUUCUUUCUGAACAAGCGAAGAAACAGUUGCAACGACAUGAAUGGUUGGCUUUCUCUAACAGAACUUGGUUAUUGUUCUUGGGAACAGGAACAGAAGUAUCCAGGCAUAUAUUUUAGUCCUAAAAAAACACAAACUAAUUGGAAUCAUGCUACAACAGCAGACGAAUUGACAAUAUCGUUGGUAUUAAAUAUAUCUGAAAUUACGCCCAGCUGUCAUUGUCCUUGUUCUGAUUUAAGACAGCAAACUGACAAGUUUUGGGCAUCUUUGUAUGGUUAUUCCAAAUCGGAAUUAGAGCAAAUCCUCGAACCGAUACUUUUGAAGACAAAAGAUGACUUGAAGUUAAACAAAACAAAACUAUCAUCGUACAAACGAAAAAGGAAUAGUGCCCAAGAUAGAAGGAAAUCUUCAGAGCAGAUUGGAAUCAUGGGAGUGAUUUUUAUCGGUGUUGUUCUAAGUUUAGUCAUCCUUAUUGAUAUUGUAGAAAUUAGGCGACGUCUAGCUGGCAUUAACAUUUCUAUUUAAAACGACACUUAAAACAAUACGCACAUAUUUUUAAUGAAAAUCCUAUUGUUAUAAGAUUUAUGAACUUUCAGCUAGCUCACAUAUUAUAAAAAAAAAAUCAGUUAAAUAUGAUUUUUAGGUCAUAUUUUAGUUGAUUCGCUAUUUUUAAGUUUGUUUGUUUGAGGGUCAGUUUUAGCAAUUAUCUUGAAUUGGCAAUCCUCAUUAACCUUUAUAGGAAAGGCAUUACGCGAACUGUGUUUCUCCAUUGUGACUGUGGCUGUUAGUGUUAGUUAAAUGGCAAUAUUCCAUUUAUCAGUAAAAUAACGAAAAAUAAAAUAAUUUCCUGGUGCUUUUCCUUGAUUUUGAAGAAAUGAAUGUUCAAGGUUUGAAAAAUACCAUGAUGGUUUGACAAAGAUUGAAGAAGACCAACUCUUCCAAAGAUCCGCUAAAAAUAAGAUGCUCCGAAAUUGUCUGAAUCAAAUGAAAUUUAUGCUCAAGCAUUUUCAAUUUUCAGUCUAUGUUGGAAUAUGUAAUUGUCCUUUAUCUUAUCAAUUUCGAACAAAUUCCAUUACAAUGUAAUGAUCUUUAAAUAUAGUUAUACAAAGCCGGACACUGCAGGUAGAAUCGAAAUCAUUCCUACAAUUAGCCGCCCGAGGAUCAAUAUGUGCGAACUUCAGACCUCUUGAAAAAUUGACAAUGCAGAUGACAAAUUGACAAAGAUCAAAUUAAGUUUUUCCAUUUCAUUUUUAUUUUAUUGCGAAUAUGUUGAUAUGUUUUAUAUUUAUAACUUGUUCUCUUCCGGCACGAAAAGGGAAACAGUGAUCUUGAUUUUUCCACAAUGAUGCGUGUAAAUACAAAUACGCCAAUUAGACGAGACUAACAUUAAUUACAUAUUUGUAUAUGUACUGGUGAAACCUGUUUCAUAAGCAUAACAUUGUGUCAUUUAUUCACUAAUCCCUGUUUUCCUCCUUGUGUAACAUCUGUUUCAA
This is a long non-coding RNA of Mytilus californianus (California mussel), 1511 nucleotides long. RefSeq lists it as uncharacterized. Lineage: Eukaryota; Metazoa; Mollusca; Bivalvia; Mytilida; Mytilidae. The record is from RefSeq and is a predicted model, not a curated record. The transcript has 3 exons.